GGAGAGGUGGCCGAGUGGUUGAUGGCUCCGGUCUUGAAAACCGGCGUAGGGGAAACCCUACCGGGGGUUCGAAUCCCUCCCUCUCCGCCA
This 90-nucleotide transfer RNA is filed under the name Candidatus Zixiibacteriota bacterium. RNAcentral's name for it is "tRNA-Ser". It matches the Rfam family "tRNA". Rfam says of the family: Transfer RNA (tRNA) molecules are approximately 80 nucleotides in length. Their secondary structure includes four short double-helical elements and three loops (D, anti-codon, and T loops). Further hydrogen bonds mediate the characteristic L-shaped molecular structure. tRNAs have two regions of fundamental functional importance: the anti-codon, which is responsible for specific mRNA codon recognition, and the 3' end, to which the tRNAs corresponding amino acid is attached (by aminoacyl-tRNA synthetases). tRNAs cope with the degeneracy of the genetic code in two manners: having more than one tRNA (with a specific anti-codon) for a particular amino acid; and 'wobble' base-pairing, i.e. permitting non-standard base-pairing at the 3rd anti-codon position. The record is from RNAcentral. RNAcentral also lists the same sequence under 3 other names. Lineage: Bacteria; Pseudomonadati; Candidatus Zixiibacteriota.